UACAGGGGGGGCAAGCGUUGUUCGGAAUUACUGGGCGUAAAGGGUCUGUAGGUGGCCAACUAAGUCAGACGUGAAAUCCCUCAGCUUAACUGGGGAACUGCGUCUGAUACUGGAUGGCUCGAGUGUGGGAGAGGAAUGCGGAAUUCCAGGUGUAGCGGUGAAAUGCGUAGAUAUCUGGAGGAACACCGGUGGCGAAGGCGGGUCUCUGGGCCGUAACUGACGCUGAGGAGCGAAAGCAUGGGGAGCGAACAGG
RNAcentral lists this ribosomal RNA (253 nucleotides) under uncultured bacterium. RNAcentral describes it as "partial 16S ribosomal RNA". It matches the Rfam family "Bacterial small subunit ribosomal RNA", at positions 524 to 776 of the family's 1533-position model. The record is from RNAcentral.